GUUAAGAGUGUGUUAGUGUGUCUGUGUUAGUGCGUCUGCGUUAGUGUGUCUGUGUGUUAGUGUGUCUGUGUGUUAGUGUUAAUGUGUGUUAGUGUUAAUGUGUGUGUGUGUGUGUGUCACCUCACAGUCCCCUCUGUUCCAUGAGAUGCUGUUUAUUCUGUUUCUUUUAAAGGUAAUUCUUCUGUUUGCUGAGUAACUGGAAAUGGAAGGGAGUUCCAUGGGACCACGGCUCUGUGUAAUACUCUGCUUCCUGGUUUCAGGAGGAAAGGGUCUUAAAGAAAUACACAAUAUCCAGAACAAACAAGUCACCAGCCUGCUCUUUGACAUUCAAAGCAUGGGACAACUGACUAGGAUAUUUCUUAGUCCUUUUUUGUUGUUGUUAUAUGAUAUGUUAUUUUCUGUUUGUUAAAACAGGACCUUGAAACAACACAACACAUCACCUCAUUUUAUUUUUUGAUUUUUUUUCUUCCCAAAACCUGGGGAGAGGAAACAAAAUCUUGCACAAUAGCUCAUUAAAAUAAAUAUUUUAUUAUUUCAUUUUAAUCAUGGUAGAAUUGUUAUUCAAAUUGACCAACCGAUCAGAGCCUACUAUUGCCUCUUCAGUCAGCUAAUUAGACUGACCUAUAAAAGUAGUUGACAAAUAUGCGAAAAUAAAUCCAACUUAAAAGAAACAUGUGUUUGGUUGUGACAUAGCGCCACUACCAACCAAUACUUGUGAAGUAAUACGUUCAGGCAUGAAUCCCCAAAGUUCAUGUUGACACUUCCAAUAGGCUGGGAAAUGAUCUAAAUUAGGAACAUUUAAUGAUUGAUCGUGAAGAAAUGUGGUUCGCAUCUUUGAAAGAAUUUGCCUCUUUCUUAUAGUGGUAAUUCAAUAUAAAUAUUUAUAUAAUUGUUUAAAAGCUAUGCUUAAAACAUAUAUAUUUUUUGUGUACAUCAAGUUUACAUUUUGAAAGACCAUGGCUAUAUCCAAUUCCAGACAAAAUUGUAGCACUCAAAUUUAGCAUUUAUCUUUUUAUUCAUUGAUUGAGCAUUUAUUGAUAAAAAAAGAAAUGUCACUUGGCAUUGAGUUUGUCCUCCCUGGGUUUCUGUGAGCUAAUCUGAAUUCUAGCACUUUCAAUCUUUAAAAAAAAAAAAGUUUUUUUUCUUUUAAAAUUUCAGCUUAUAUGUUCCUAUGUUUAUAAUUUUGUAUUUGAUCCUGUGUAUGUAUGUAUGUGCCAUUAGUUUGAUGUGUAGAUUUGAUCAAUAUUUGUCUAUUUUUCUCCUCCAAAAGAAACAGUAUUUUUUAAUAGACUUUUCACUAAUACCUUCUUUCAUGUGCCCCCCCCCACAAUUGUAUAUAAUUAACACAACAACAACAACAAAAUAUUCUACAACCAAGUAUUUGUAACAGAUUUGUAAUCUAAUUGCCUUUCAGAGAGCUUGGUGAGCAUGACACAUCAUCGUCCCUAGGACGUCACAUCCACGAUCUGGAAUAGAGAAACUACCAGAUUGACCUCUUCUUCAAGGUCAAAAAGACUAGGUCCUGUUUUUUCCCCACAUAGUUCCAUUUAACAGCACAUUAUCUGGGGAACCCAGUUUUUAAAGCACUUUUAUUUUGCAACCAUAACAACUGUCUGAAGUGUGACAAAUAAAGGUGAAAUAAUACAAACUAAUUACGGAAAAGGACUGUACUGUUGCCUAGUAACUACAGAAUACAUGUUGUCUCUAGACAGGAAAAGGACUGUACUGCUGCCUAGUAACUACAGAAUACAUGUUGUCUCUAGACUGGAAAAGAGCUGUACUGCUGCCUAGUAACUACAGAGUACAUGUUGUCUCUAGACUGGAAAAGGACUGUACUGCUGCCUAGUAACUACAGAGUACAUGUUGUCUCUAGACAGGAAAAGGACUGUACUGCUGCCUAGUAACUACAGAGUACAUGUUGUCUCUAGACAGGAAAAGGACUGUACUGCUGCCUAGUAACUACAGAGUACAUGUUGUCUCUAGACAGGAAAAGGACUGUACUGCUGCCUAGUAACUACAGAAUACAUGUUGUCUCUAGACAGGAAAAGGACUGUACUGUUGCCUAGUAACUACAGAAUACAUGUUAUCUCUAGACAGGAAAAGGACUAUACUGUUGCCUAGUAACUACAGAAUACAUGUUGUCUCUAGACAGGAAAAGGACUGUACUGCUGCCUAGUAGCUACAGAGUACAUGUUGUCUCUAGACAGGAAAAGGACUGUACUGCUGCCUAGUAGCUACAGAGUACAUGUUGUCUCUAGACAGGAAAAGGACUGUACUGCUGCCUAGUAGCUACAGAGUACAUGUUGUCUCUAGACAGGAAAAGGACUGUACUGCUGCCAGGCUGUGCCAAGACAGGGCUACAGAGAAGGCAGGUCUCCAUCUGUCCCAGUUUACAGUAGACCUCACCCCACACAUGAGUUUACAGUAGACCUCACCCCACACAUGAGUUUACAGUAGACCUCACCCCACACAUGAUAGUGUACAGUAGACCUCACCCCACACAUGAGUGUACAGUAGACCUCACCCCACACAUGAGUUUACAGUAGACCUCACCCCACACAUGAGUUUACAGUAGACCUCACCCCACACAUGAGUUUACAGUAGACCUCACCCCACACAUGAGUUUACAGUAGACCUCACCCCACACAUGAGUUUACAGUAGACCUCACCCCACACAUGAGUUUACAGUAGACCUCACCCCACACAUGAGUUUACAGUAGACCUCACCCCACACAUGAGUUUACAGUAGACCUCACCCCACACAUGAGUUUACAGUAGACCUCACCCCACACAUGAGUUUACAGUAGACCUCACCCCACACAUGAGUUUACAGUAGACCUCACCCCACACAUGAGUUUACAGUAGACCUCACCCCACACAUGAGUUUACAGUAGACCUCACCCCACACAUGACAGUUUACAGUAGACCUCACCCCACACAUAACAGCAGAGAAGAUGGAUAUGCUAAUAAUUCAUUCGUGGAAGAAAACUAAAACUAAAGUACUUGUUGGGAGGCAGCUGUAAAUGCUACAUUUUGCACAGCUAGCCUUGGGAAGUGGCCUUUUCAGGAGUAUUUCAGUCUCAUCUGGAUGACAUAAUCAUUUUAUCCAUCCCACCUGUUUUGGAGAGACAAACUCUGCUAAACCUCUGCUGAGAUACUCAUGAGAAGGACUACCUCUGACGGUGGUGUUACACCAUGAUUCAAACCAUCAAAUAGUUCAUUAGCAUCGUUAAUGGAAAGGUUGUGGAAGUAAUAUCUCACCUUAAACUUUGACUGAGUGCCGAGUGGAUGUUUUCGCUACAGCGCCUUGUUGGUUCAUUACCUCGACUGCGCCUACUAGAGAUGCAUUUGUCUUCACCUUUUCUCUGUACUAGUAGGUGCAAAACACACAAUUUAAGGGAAUUCUUAAAUUUUUUAAUUUAAAAAAAGAAAUUCUUUCCAUUUUUAAGUCAGAACCUGUUUUUGGAUUUCAUUAAUGCUUUCUGUUGUUGUUGUUGUAGUGAGAAACUGGGUACUGUCUGGUGAAGACAAGAUUCACAUGUAGUUUUACAUUUUUGUUUUUUAGCUUAAUGUAUGUCUUUUCCAAGCUCUUUGUGUAUGUCGUGUAGCAACAUCUACUUUAUGUUUCAUACUUUAUUACAGCCACCUCUGGGGGGGAAAGGUCAUCCUUACACUAUUUUAUAUAGCAUGGAGUUUAUCAACUACAGGGAGAAUUGUAUAAAAAAUAUAUAUUCUUCAGAGGAAAAACAGCUUUUUUUGUUGUUUCAUAUCUCACAUGCAAUCAGUUGCUGCAAAGUGACAGAUUUUGUAUAUUGGUUGAUCCAAAGAGAUGACAUAACAACAAACCUAUUUACUGAUUGUACAGUACAUUGUAUCUUUGAACUGUCAUGUGUUAUGUUAUUAAAAUACAAACCCACGGUUUCAUA
Oncorhynchus tshawytscha (Chinook salmon) is the source of this 3926-nucleotide long non-coding RNA. RefSeq lists it as uncharacterized. The transcript is spliced from 2 exons. NCBI's taxonomy places the organism in Eukaryota, Metazoa, Chordata, Actinopteri, Salmoniformes, Salmonidae. The record is from RefSeq and is a predicted model, not a curated record.